Molecule: ribosomal RNA, 253 nt
Filed under: uncultured bacterium
Lineage: Bacteria
Description: partial 16S ribosomal RNA
Rfam family: Archaeal small subunit ribosomal RNA
Source: RNAcentral
UACCAGCACCCCGAGUGGUCGGGACGAUUAUUGGGCCUAAAGCAUCCGUAGCCGGCCUUACAAGUCCUCCGUUAAAUCCAGCUGCUUAACAGAUGGGCUGCGGAGGAUACUAUAAGACUAGGAGGCAGGAGAGGCAAGCGGUACUCAGUGGGUAGGGGUAAAAUCCGUUGAUCCAUUGAAGACCACCAGUGGCGAAGGCGGCUUGCCAGAAUGCGCUCGACGGUGAGGGGUGAAAGCUGGGGGAGCAAACCGG